AAGAAUCCUCCACCAGCCUUUAUUCCCAGCUAACUCAGCCCCACCACCGGAGACAGACUCAUCAUCACCACCGCCUCCGCCUGACAACCAGGUUUUCCCCACUCCAGACCAACCCUUCUUCCCUGAGGUCCCAACUGGACCUACCCCGGAUCAAAGUCAACCCGCAACAGCGUCACCAGCCAAUGGCACCAUUCCAAUCCCAACAGCAACUCAACCAGCCAAACCGGCUAAGAAAGUGGCGGUUGCGAUCUCGGUUGCGAUUGUCACUCUGGGAAUGCUAUCGGGUCUUGCAUUCUUUUUAUACCGCCACCGGGUUAAGCACCCAAGCGAGACUCAGAAACUCGUCGGAGGCAAUUCUCAAAGACUCGCAAAUGAAUCUGUAGUACCCAACUCAAGUGUUCUUUACAUGGGCACUGUGCAGCCAGGCAGGACAUCGGGGGAACUAAAUGGAACAACAAAUGAAGCCAAUGUUUCUCCUUAUCGGAAGCUAAAUUCUAUCAAGACAUCGGAUCGUUAUAGGCCUAGCCCUGAUUUGCAGCCUCUGCCGCCAUUGCCUAGGCCUCCUUCACAUCAUGACAUUGACAACGAGAAUUCUCCAUCAUCUUCAGUUUCAUCGUCGGACGAGGAGAGCCACGGGACCGCAUUUUACACCCCGCAGGGCUCUUCCAUCAGCAACGAUGACGGCUUUUACACGCCGGCGGCUGUUUCGGCUUCCCGCCCGGUUAGUAAUAGCACCUGGGCGAAGCCUGCUAAUGGUCGUUCUGUUCCUCAUUCUAAAAGAACCUCUCCCA
This 791-nucleotide unclassified non-coding RNA is filed under the name Hevea brasiliensis (rubber tree). The record is from RNAcentral. Lineage: Eukaryota; Viridiplantae; Streptophyta; Magnoliopsida; Malpighiales; Euphorbiaceae.